GUAGGUGGCAAGCGUUGUCCGGAAUUAUUGGGCGUAAAGCGCGCGCAGGCUGUUCUUUAAGUCUGAUGUGAAAGCCCACGGCUCAACCGUGGAGGGUCAUUGGAAACUGGAGAACUUGAGUACAGAAGAGGAAAGCGGAAUUCCACGUGUAGCGGUGAAAUGCGUAGAGAUGUGGAGGAACACCAGUGGCGAAGGCGGCUUUCUGGUCUGUAACUGACGCUGAGGCGCGAAAGCGUGGGGAGCAAACAGGGAUUAGAUACCCUGGUAGUCCACGCCGUAAACGAUGAGUGCUAAGUGUUAGGGGGGUUUCCGCCCCCUUAGUGCUGCAGCUAACGCAUUAAGCACUCCGCCUGGGGAGUACGGCCGCAAGGCUG
This 374-nucleotide ribosomal RNA is filed under the name uncultured organism. Its description in RNAcentral is "partial 16S ribosomal RNA". It matches the Rfam family "Bacterial small subunit ribosomal RNA", at positions 527 to 896 of the family's 1533-position model. The record is from RNAcentral.